GAAUGCUGACAUAAGUAACGAUAAAGCGGGUGAAAAGCCCGCUCGCCGGAAGACCAAGGGUUCCUGUCCAACGUUAAUCGGGGCAGGGUGAGUCGACCCCUAAGGCGAGGCCGAAAGGCGUAGUCGAUGGGAAACGGGUUAAUAUUCCCGUACUUGGUGUUACUGCGAAGGGGGGACGGAGAAGGCUAUGUUGGCCGGGCGACGGUUGUCCCGGUUUAAGCGUGUAGGUGUGUGUUCCAGGUAAAUCCGGUUCACUUUAACACUGAGGCGUGAUGACGAGGCACUACGGUGCUGAAGCAACAAAUGCCCUGCUUCCAGGAAAAGCCUCUAAGCAUCAGGUAACAUCAAAUCGUACCCCAAACCGACACAGGUGGUCAGGUAGAGAAUACCAAGGCGCUUGAGAGAACUCGGGUGAAGGAACUAGGCAAAAUGGUGCCGUAACUUCGGGAGAAGGCACGCUGACACGUAGGUGAAGUGAUUUACUCAUGGAGCUGAAGUCAGUCGAAGAUACCAGCUGGCUGCAACUGUUUAUUAAAAACACAGCACUGUGCAAACACGAAAGUGGACGUAUACGGUGUGACGCCUGCCCGGUGCCGGAAGGUUAAUUGAUGGGGUCAGCGCAAGCGAAGCUCCUGAUCGAAGCCCCGGUAAACGGCGGCCGUAACUAUAACGGUCCUAAGGUAGCGAAAUUCCUUGUCGGGUAAGUUCCGACCUGCACGAAUGGCGUAAUGAUGGCCAGGCUGUCUCCACCCGAGACUCAGUGAAAUUGAACUCGCUGUGAAGAUGCAGUGUACCCGCGGCAAGACGGAAAGACCCCGUGAACCUUUACUAUAGCUUGACACUGAACAUUGAGCCUUGAUGUGUAGGAUAGGUGGGAGGCUUUGAAGUGUGGACGCCAGUCUGCAUGGAGCCGACCUUGAAAUACCACCCUUUAAUGUUUGAUGUUCUAACGUGGACCCGUAAUCCGGGUUGCGGACAGUGUCUGGUGGGUAGUUUGACUGGGGCGGUCUCCUCCUAAAGAGUAACGGAGGAGCACGAAGGUUGGCUAAUCCUGGUCGGACAUCAGGAGGUUAGUGCAAUGGCAUAAGCCAGCUUGACUGCGAGCGUGACGGCGCGAGCAGGUGCGAAAGCAGGUCAUAGUGAUCCGGUGGUUCUGAAUGGAAGGGCCAUCGCUCAACGGAUAAAAGGUACUCCGGGGAUAACAGGCUGAUACCGCCCAAGAGUUCAUAUCGACGGCGGUGUUUGGCACCUCGAUGUCGGCUCAUCACAUCCUGGGGCUGAAGUAGGUCCCAAGGGUAUGGCUGUUCGCCAUUUAAAGUGGUACGCGAGCUGGGUUUAGAACGUCGUGAGACAGUUCGGUCCCUAUCUGCCGUGGGCGCUGGAGAACUGAGGGGGGCUGCUCCUAGUACGAGAGGACCGGAGUGGACGCAUCACUGGUGUUCGGGUUGUCAUGCCAAUGGCACUGCCCGGUAGCUAAAUGCGGAAGAGAUAAGUGCUGAAAGCAUCUAAGCACGAAACUUGCCCCGAGAUGAGUUCUCCCUGAGACUUAGAGUCUCCUGAAGGAACGUUGAAGACGACGACGUUGAUAGGCCGGGUGUGUAAGCGCAGCGAUGCGUUGAGCUAACCGGUACUAAUGAACCGUGAGGCUUAACCUUACA
This 1658-nucleotide ribosomal RNA is filed under the name Salmonella enterica subsp. enterica. RNAcentral describes it as "partial 23S ribosomal RNA". It matches the Rfam family "Bacterial large subunit ribosomal RNA", at positions 1292 to 2925 of the family's 2925-position model. Lineage: Bacteria; Pseudomonadati; Pseudomonadota; Gammaproteobacteria; Enterobacterales; Enterobacteriaceae. The record is from RNAcentral.